RNAcentral lists this ribosomal RNA (330 nucleotides) under Triticum aestivum (bread wheat). RNAcentral's name for it is "partial small subunit ribosomal RNA". Lineage: Eukaryota; Viridiplantae; Streptophyta; Magnoliopsida; Poales; Poaceae. The record is from RNAcentral.
AUGGCGGGAAGUCACCGCUGGACGAAGGAUCCGCCGCUAACUAGGACACCAAAGGCUUGCCGCAGGCCACCCUCCAUCCCACAACCCAAAAUGACGACGCCUUCAAGAAGGAGGUGCAGGAGCACCGUCGCCGCCCAACCAAGGUUGUGGAUUUUCACCCAGGAGGAGGGGAGGGAGAUGGACCUCAACGUCGCCUUCGGGAAGGGGAGCGGCGCCCGGAGCGCCGCCAACAAUGUGGCCGCCGUCGCCGUCCAAGAGGUUACCCCUAUCCAGGGCUCCCUACCCCACCACCACGACGUCAUCCACCGGAUCCGGCAAGACAUGGCGUAG